UACGAGGGGUGCAAGCGUUACUCGGAAUUACUGGGCGUAAAGCGUGCGCAGGCGGUUCCGCAAGUCAGAUGUGAAAUCCCCGGGCUCAACCUGGGAACUGCAUUUGAAACUACGGAGCUAGAGUGUGUCAGAGGGGGGUGGAAUUCCACGUGUAGCAGUGAAAUGCGUAGAUAUGUGGAGGAACACCGAUGGCGAAGGCAGCCCCCUGGGAUAACACUGACGCUCAUGCACGAAAGCGUGGGGAGCAAACAGG
RNAcentral lists this ribosomal RNA (253 nucleotides) under uncultured bacterium. RNAcentral's name for it is "partial 16S ribosomal RNA". It matches the Rfam family "Bacterial small subunit ribosomal RNA", at positions 524 to 776 of the family's 1533-position model. The record is from RNAcentral.